GGGCGCUUAGUUCAGUGGCAGAACGUUCGAUUCACAUUCGAAAGGUCGGAAGUUCGAUCCUUCCAGCGCCCACCA
Molecule: transfer RNA, 75 nt
Filed under: bacterium
Lineage: Bacteria
Description: tRNA-Val
Rfam family: tRNA
About the family: Transfer RNA (tRNA) molecules are approximately 80 nucleotides in length.
Source: RNAcentral